UGGGGAAUUUUGCACAAUGGGGGAAACCCUGAUGCAGCGACGCCGCGUGAUUUAGAAGGCCUUCGGGUUGUAAAAAUCUUUUCUAUGGGAAGAAAAUGACAGUACCAUAGGAAUAAGGACCGGCUAAUUACGUGCCAGCAGCCGCGGUAAUACGUAAGGUCCGAGCGUUGUCCGGAAUCAUUGGGCGUAAAGGGUACGUAGGCGGGUAAGCAAGUUAGAAGUGAAAUCCUAUAGCUCAACUAUAGUAAGCUUUUAAAACUGCUCAUCUUGAGGUAUGGAAGGGAAAGUGGAAUUCCUAGUGUAGCGGUGAAAUGCGCAGAUAUUGGGAGGAAUACCGGUGGCGAAGGCGGCUUUCUGGCCAUAACCUGACGCUGAGGUACGAAAGCGUGGGUAGCAAACAGG
Molecule: ribosomal RNA, 402 nt
Filed under: bacterium
Lineage: Bacteria
Description: partial 16S ribosomal RNA
Rfam family: Bacterial small subunit ribosomal RNA
Source: RNAcentral